Molecule: long non-coding RNA, 1147 nt
Filed under: Cyanistes caeruleus (blue tit)
Lineage: Eukaryota; Metazoa; Chordata; Aves; Passeriformes; Paridae
Description: lncRNA (ENSCCEG00000006403.1)
Source: RNAcentral
UUCCAAUACAUUAAAGAAAAGGUAUAUACAUUAUUUUUCAUGUUUAUAUAUGAGAUACCUAGGGGUUGGAUACUCAGUAGGAAUGCAAAACCAAGAUAUAUCUUUUACACAUUUUCUACAGGUAGAAAAUGCAGGUACUUUCUGCAAAAGUGCCCAGGAUUACCACUAGGCUACAAGACCUGAGCUCUGUCACUGCCUCACCUGGCUUCCGUUUCCCUGCCCCUAAGAGGCUGGGCUGCCAAUGUACCUGUGCUCACAUCCAGCUCCCUGAAGCAGCCAGUGGAACAUGCAUCGACUCGCACAUAAUCAAUAUACAGCCCUUCUUCUCGUUCCUUCACCAGCAGAAGAGCUGUUUCAAAGGUCUCAUGCUUGCAGCCUACACAAGGAGAGCCAAGGAUGAACUGUGGAUAUGUGUACAGACAUGCACAGGAUCUGUUUAAGGAGGUAUUUACCAAAGCUGCAAUCACACCAGGAAGCACUGAUCCUUCUGUCCAGCCGGUUUUGCCAGAGAGAGGCAGAUUGGCUUCAGCACCCCUUCAGUUCAGCUUAACCAAAAUCAAACAGGGAGCUGUUGGGACAGGGCAACACUGAAGCCUCUCCCAUCUUCUUCAGAUGGAGGGCUAGCAAGUGUGAGUGGGGAGCCCCUGUGGAAGAGAAAGUCCAGACUCAGCCCCAUCAAAAGAGAGGAAGGGUUUAUAGUACCAUAUCUCCGUGUGAGGAUUUCCCUUCGUAUUUAAUAUUCAGUAUUUGCUAUUUAAUAUUUUCACAUUUAGUAUUUUCUUACUUCAUAUUUCAUAUUUCGUACUUCAUAUUUCAUAUUUCUCUUCAGUGUUUGGACUCUUGUGUGAAAAAGGGGACGUGCGGAGGGCCAUAGCAUUUCCAGUGCAGGAUAAUAUUCAGGCAUGAGCAAAGCAUAUUUCCCUUUGUGCAUGCCAUCAGGGAAAUCAGAUCCGGGAUUAUUCCUCAGCAUCGCACGAUUACUGUUCGACUUGGUGUCUUCCGAGUCGGCCGCGCGCAGUAACUUUGGGGAAGGGAUGCCCGGGGAGAGGUCAGGCGCGGAGCGGCGGGUCGCGCAGGUAUCGCCCCACCGCUCCGUGCGCGCCCCCCGCCGCCACGUGGAGGGGCAGGCGGCCGCGGCCGUCGGGCA